UGCAAGUCGAACGGCAGCAUGAUCUAGCUUGCUAGAUUGAUGGCGAGUGGCGAACGGGUGAGUAAUACAUCGGAACGUGCCCUGUAGUGGGGGAUAACUAGUCGAAAGAUUAGCUAAUACCGCAUACGACCUGAGGGUGAAAGUGGGGGACCGCAAGGCCUCAUGCUAUAGGAGCGGCCGAUGUCUGAUUAGCUAGUUGGUGGGGUAAAGGCCCACCAAGGCGACGAUCAGUAGCUGGUCUGAGAGGACGAUCAGCCACACUGGGACUGAGACACGGCCCAGACUCCUACGGGAGGCAGCAGUGGGGAAUUUUGGACAAUGGGCGAAAGCCUGAUCCAGCAAUGCCGCGUGUGUGAAGAAGGCCUUCGGGUUGUAAAGCACUUUUGUCCGGAAAGAAAUGGCUCUGGUUAAUACCUGGGGUCGAUGACGGUACCGGAAGAAUAAGGACCGGCUAACUACGUGCCAGCAGCCGCGGUAAUACGUAGGGUCCAAGCGUUAAUCGGAAUUACUGGGCGUAAAGCGUGCGCAGGCGGUUGUGCAAGACCGAUGUGAAAUCCCCGAGCUUAACUUGGGAAUUGCAUUGGUGACUGCACGGCUAGAGUGUGUCAGAGGGGGGUAGAAUUCCACGUGUAGCAGUGAAAUGCGUAGAGAUGUGGAGGAAUACCGAUGGCGAAGGCAGCCCCCUGGGAUAACACUGACGCUCAUGCACGAAAGCGUGGGGAGCAAACAGGAUUAGAUACCCUGGUAGUCCACGCCCUAAACGAUGUCAACUAGUUGUUGGGGAUUCAUUUCCUUAGUAACGUAGCUAACGCGUGAAGUUGACCGCCUGGGGAGUACGGUCGCAAGAUUAAAACUCAAAGGAAUUGACGG
Molecule: ribosomal RNA, 870 nt
Filed under: uncultured bacterium
Lineage: Bacteria
Description: bacterial SSU rRNA
Rfam family: Bacterial small subunit ribosomal RNA
Source: RNAcentral